AUACGUAGGGUGCAAGCGUUGUCCGGAAUUAUUGGGCGUAAAGAGCUCGUAGGCGGCUUGUCGCGUCUGCUGUGAAAUCCCGGAGCUCAACUCCGGGCGUGCAGUGGGUACGGGCAGGCUAGAGUGCGGUAGGGGAGAUUGGAAUUCCUGGUGUAGCGGUGGGAUGCGCAGAUAUCAGGAGGAACACCGAUGGCGAAGGCAGAUCUCUGGGCCGCUACUGACGCUGAGGAGCGAAAGCAUGGGGAGCGAACAGGAUUAGAUACCCUGGUAGUCCAUGCCGUAAACGUUGGGACCUAGAUGUAGGGCCUGUUCCACGGGUUCUGUGUCGUAGCUAACGCAUUAAGUUCCCCGCCUGGGGAGUACGGCCGCAAGGCUAAAACUCAAAUGAAUUGACGGGG
This 398-nucleotide ribosomal RNA is filed under the name uncultured bacterium. RNAcentral describes it as "partial 16S ribosomal RNA". It matches the Rfam family "Bacterial small subunit ribosomal RNA", at positions 523 to 918 of the family's 1533-position model. The record is from RNAcentral.